UGUCAUCACAUUGUCCAAGGUCCCUGCUGU
Molecule: non-coding RNA, 30 nt
Filed under: Rattus norvegicus (Norway rat)
Lineage: Eukaryota; Metazoa; Chordata; Mammalia; Rodentia; Muridae
Source: RNAcentral